Molecule: unclassified non-coding RNA, 234 nt
Filed under: plant metagenome
Description: partial contains small subunit ribosomal RNA, internal transcribed spacer 1, and 5.8S ribosomal RNA
Source: RNAcentral
UUUCCGUAGGUGAACCUGCGGAAGGAUCAUUACCGAGUGAGGGCCCUCUGGGUCCAACCUCCCACCCGUGUUUAUUUACCUUGUUGCUUCGGCGAGCCUGCCUUUUGGCUGCCGGGGGACGUCAGUCCCCGGGUCCGUGCUCGCCGGAGACACCUUAGAGCUCUGUCUGAAGAUUGUAGUCUGAGAUUAAAUAUAAAUUAUUUAAAACUUUCAACAACGGAUCUCUUGGUUCCG